AUUGAACGCUGGCGGAAUGCUUUACACAUGCAAGUCGAACGGCAGCACGGACUUCGGUCUGGUGGCGAGUGGCGAACGGGUGAGUAAUGUAUCGGAACGUGCCCAGUCGUGGGGGAUAACGUAGUGAAAAUUACGCUAAUACCGCACACGAUCUAUGGAUGAAAGCGGGGGAUCGCCAGACCUCGCGCGAUUGGAGCGGCCGAUAUCAGAUUAGGUGGUUGGUGGGGUAAAGGCCCACCAAGCCAACGAUCUGUAGCUGGUCUGAGAGGACGACCAGCCACACUGGAACUGAGACACGGUCCAGAGUCCUACGGGAGGCAGAAGUGGGGAAUUUUGGACAAUGGGCGAAAGCCUGAUCCAGCCAUUCCGCGUGCAGGAUGAAGGCCCUCGGGUUGUAAACUGCUUUUGUACAGAACGAAAAGGUUUCUACUAAUACUAGGAGCUCAUGACGGUACUGUAAGAAUAAGCACCGGCUAACUACGUGCCAGCCGCCGCCGUAA
Molecule: ribosomal RNA, 500 nt
Filed under: uncultured bacterium
Lineage: Bacteria
Description: partial 16S ribosomal RNA
Rfam family: Bacterial small subunit ribosomal RNA
Source: RNAcentral